This 254-nucleotide ribosomal RNA is filed under the name uncultured bacterium. RNAcentral describes it as "partial 16S ribosomal RNA". It matches the Rfam family "Bacterial small subunit ribosomal RNA", at positions 524 to 776 of the family's 1533-position model. The record is from RNAcentral.
UACGUGGGGUGCGAGCGUUAUCCGGAUUUACUGGGCGUAAAGCGUACCGUCGGUGACUUGAUAAGUUGCUUGUCUAAGCCUGGGGCUCAACUCCAGAUCGGCAGGCAAAACUAUCAGGAUUGAGUCUGUUCGGGGAACUUGGAAUUCUCGGUGGAGGGGUGAAAUCCGUAGAUAUCGAGAGGAACGCCAAGCGCGAAGGCAGAGUUCUAGGACACGACUGACACUCAGGGACGAAAGCUCGGGGAGCAAAAGGG